GUCGCCUCCUAAAAGGUAACGGAGGCGCUCAAAGGUUCCCUCAGAAUGGUUGGAAAUCAUUCAUAGAGUGUAAAGGCAUAAGGGAGCUUGACUGCGAGACCUACAAGUCGAGCAGGGUCGAAAGACGGACUUAGUGAUCCGGUGGUUCCGCAUGGAAGGGCCAUCGCUCAACGGAUAAAAGCUACCCCGGGGAUAACAGGCUUAUCUCCCCCAAGAGUUCACAUCGACGGGGAGGUUUGGCACCUCGAUGUCGGCUCAUCGCAUCCUGGGGCUGUAGUCGGUCCCAAGGGUUGGGCUGUUCGCCCAUUAAAGCGGUACGCGAGCUGGGUUCAGAACGUCGUGAGACAGUUCGGUCCCUAUCCGUCGUGGGCGUAGGAAAUUUGAGAGG
This 388-nucleotide ribosomal RNA is filed under the name Staphylococcus aureus. RNAcentral's name for it is "partial 23S ribosomal RNA". It matches the Rfam family "Bacterial large subunit ribosomal RNA", at positions 2282 to 2669 of the family's 2925-position model. Lineage: Bacteria; Bacillati; Bacillota; Bacilli; Caryophanales; Staphylococcaceae. The record is from RNAcentral.